GACGGUUGACAUGGGGUAGCAAUAUUCCGUGUCAGCAGUGGCGUAAGGGUGCUUAACACGUGGGUAAUCUGCCGCGAAGUGUGGGAUAACUCGCUGAAAGGCGAGCUAAUACCGCAUGUGAUUUUCUUGAGGCAUCUCAGGGAAUUCAAACAUGGGUCGCAAGGCCUGUGGUUUCGCGAUGAGCCCGCGGCCUAUCAGCUAGUUGGCGGGGUAAAGGCCCACCAAGGCUAAGACGGGUAGCUGGUCUGAGAGGACGACCAGCCACACUGGAACUGAGACACGGUCCAGACACCUACGGGUGGCAGCAGUCGAGAAUUUUUCACAAUGGGGGAAACCCUGAUGGAGCGACGCCGCGUGGGGGAUGAAGGGCUUCGGUUCGUAAACCCCUGUCAUUGGCGAACAAGUGUUGCGUCCUAAUACGGCGCAACUUGAUAGUAGCCGAAGAGGAAGGGACGGCUAACUCUGUGCCAGCAGCCGCGGUAAUACAGAGGUCCCGAGCGUUGUUCGGAUUCACUGGGCGUAAGGGGUGCGUAGGUGGUUGGGUAAGUUUGAGGUGAAAGCUCCGAGCUCAACUCGGAAAAUGCCUUGAAGACUAUCUGACUAGAGGGUUGGAGGGGAGACUGGAAUUCUCGGUGUAGCAGUGAAAUGCGUAGAUAUCGAGAGGAACACCAGUGGCGAAGGCGAGUCUCUGGACAACACCUGACACUGAGGCACGAAAGCCAAGGGAGCAAACGGGAUUAGAUACCCCGGUAGUCUUGGCUGUAAACGGUGCGCACUUGCUGUGAGCGGAUUCGACCCCGCUCGUGGCGUAGUUAACACGAUAAGUGCGCCGCCUGGGAAGUACGGUCGCAAGAUUAAAACUCAAAGAAAUUGACGG
RNAcentral lists this ribosomal RNA (877 nucleotides) under uncultured bacterium. Its description in RNAcentral is "bacterial SSU rRNA". It matches the Rfam family "Bacterial small subunit ribosomal RNA", at positions 65 to 916 of the family's 1533-position model. The record is from RNAcentral.